Non-coding RNA from Saimiri boliviensis boliviensis (Bolivian squirrel monkey), 1876 nucleotides. The record is from RefSeq and is a predicted model, not a curated record. Lineage: Eukaryota; Metazoa; Chordata; Mammalia; Primates; Cebidae.
GUUCUGGUGGCUGGGAAUAAAGGAAGAGGACGUGCUGCUUAUACCUUUAAUAUUGAAGCUGUUGGAUUUAGCAAAGGUGAAAAGUUACCUGAUGCAGUGUUGAAACCACCCCCGUUAUUUCCUGAUACAGAUUAUAAACCAGUGCCACUGAAAACAGGAGAAGGUGAAGAAUAUAUGCUGGCUUUGAAACAGGAGUUGAGAGAAACAAUGAAAAGAAUGCCUUACUUUAUUGAAACACCUGAAGAAAGACAAGAUAUCGAAAGGUAUAGUAAAAGAUACAUGAAAGUGUACAAGGAAGAAUAGAUACCAGAUUGGAGAAGACUUCCAAGAGAGACGAUGCCAAGGAAUAAAUGUAAAAAAGCAGGCCCCAAACCCAAAAAGGCAAAAGACGCAGGCAAAGGCACUUCACUCACUAAUACUGCAGAUGUUUUGAAAAAAAUUGAGGAGUUGGAAAAGAGAGGUGAUGGUGAAAAAUCAGAUGAGGAAAAUGAAGAGAAAGAAGGAAGCAAAGAGAAAAGUAAAGAAGGUGAGGAUGACGAAGACGAUGAUGCUGCAGAACAGGAGGAAUAUGAUGAAGAAGACCAAGAAGAGGAAAAUGACUACAUUCAUUCAUACUUUGAAGAUGGAGAUGACUUUGGAGCAGACAGUGAUGACAACAUGGAUGAAGCAACCUAUUAGGCAUGAAAUUUUUCAAAAAAUAUUUUUAUGCAGCUUCUGAACAUUUGGACAGACUUGUUUUGUAUUUUAUUUCUGAUAAGCUCUAAGUAUUUAUGUUUUUGGGUUUUUUGGACAAAUAUUUGUUACCAAAAUAUUCAAAACCACUUUGAGUUUACAUACUAGUUACCUUACCAAUUAGUCCCUGACACUCUGACAUUCCUUCUAAACACCUCUGCCAUCUCUCUUAUGUACUCUCGUGGAUUUUUUCAUAUUUGAAUAUGAAUGUGCCUAAAGAAUUUAUGCUCUCUUAAUCUGUGUAUAGGUACUUGAAAUCAUUCUUGCUUAACUGCUGAUCUUUUAUAAAACUAUUGCUAGUCAUAACGAAUUUCUAUAACCUGAAAAUUGAGAUAACAGCACAUAGAGCACUUUAAAAACAAAGAAACUUGAAAAUAAUUUUAGUUUUGACUUUAACAUAGUAUGUUCUAGACUACUGCAUUCUGACUACAUAAACCUACCUGAGCUCUUACAAGUGCAGAAUUGUGAGAUAGAGGUUUUGUGAUGGAAAACAUACACACAGGGAAAAAUACCAAACUGAGCAAUAUCAAGUUCACAGCUCACGUCUUAGCCAGUGCAAAGAAACUUUCACAUGGGGUGAAUAUUAUAAAUACUUGAAUAUGGGACUCACUUGAUACUGUAUGAUAUAUAAAUUAUUCAUCCCACUGUAAUAACUUGGACAUCUUCAAAUAGUUGGGCUUAUGGAAAAACUUGACUAAGACAUUUUAUUUUAUCCUUUAUGUAAGUGUGAGAUAAGUUCUGGUAAUAUAAAUAUCACUGUAGAAUGCAUGUGUGUGAACUCUAUGAAGUAUGGUGACCUUUUAUGUUUCAGAAUACUCAAGUUGUACAUUUGAUUUAUUUGAAUGCAAAAUGAACUCACGUCAUUUUGAAAUUAAGAUUAAUUUUUUUGUUUAACUUUAAAGCUAGCUCCCCCAACUUUAUAUAUUUUGGGGGGAAAAAUGCCUAAAAACCUUAGCCUACAAAGACUCUCACAAAUGCCAAAGAUUUUCAAGGAAAUUCAUAUUAUAUAUUUGAAAAAUGAUUUAUCAAUGUUAUCUACCAAAAGAAAUAAUUUUUCUCCUUUGGGAAGAUAUCAUUAACCUGAAAUGUGAGAAUCUGAUCCCUAGAUCCUAUUUCUACCUGUACUAUUAAACUCAACCUUGAA